UUCUGGUUUAUAGGCCUACUAUAUCGGUUGUUACUUGCAUUGCGUCCCUUUUGUAGUAAUAACAAACCAAAGAUGAAUACUACAAACCUAAAAGUAUGCGAACAUCAAUGCUUAGAAGAGUGUGAUCCGUACUAAUAAACUAUAUUUUCCUAAACGGGACAAGAAGUUUCCGAAAUUUUAUGCGAAUCACUAACAAAGUUGAAGGAAAAGUUGUUAUUAGACUAUAUUUGUCCAAGAGAAUUACUUAUUAAAAGAAAGAAAAUUUACUUUCCAGAUGUUUUUGUUCCCAACGCAUAAAAACAUCAGAGUGGAGACCGGAUGGUGAUGAAACAGAUAGGUCCAUAAUGACGAUUUCCAAGAUAACUUACGCAUUUCGAGAAUUCUUUCAUAAAAAUAAAACACGAAUUGUAAUUUCUAGUCUUUCAAAUGGUGAAAACUUUCCAAUUUCUUAAAAGCAUCAGGAAAAAUUACAUUAAC
Centruroides sculpturatus (bark scorpion) is the source of this 477-nucleotide long non-coding RNA. RefSeq lists it as uncharacterized. The transcript has 3 exons. The record is from RefSeq and is a predicted model, not a curated record. Lineage: Eukaryota; Metazoa; Arthropoda; Arachnida; Scorpiones; Buthidae.